AACCUGGCUGAGGGAGAUCACCCGAACUGUGCCCUUUUGAUACCAGUCUUUCAGCUGUUCCGAACGGACCGCAAAGCAGACUUAUUGGGGAAAACGCGAGGAGGCAGAAUCUGCUUUUAUAUAAACAAAGAAACCUGUGAGGUGUGGGCUAUUACCUUCGCAACUGGACUCGGACACCCUGCACCGUCUACUGCUGUUUGUGAAUUCGGAUUAUUCAUCUCAAGACUGUGGCUCGAUUCCUAACCUUCCUAACUCCUGCCUCUGUGAGUACUCUGGCCAUCUCAGGACCGAAUUUUGGACAAGCCUUCUGGAUAGCCUGACUCCCAAACCCAGUGGUAUGAUUCCCCAAAAUUACUCAGCUCAGUGAUCUAAUGGACCCGAGGAACCUUCCAACCAUUGUUCUGGUGGAACUCCCC
Long non-coding RNA from Girardinichthys multiradiatus, 416 nucleotides. RefSeq lists it as uncharacterized. The transcript is spliced from 3 exons. The record is from RefSeq and is a predicted model, not a curated record. Lineage: Eukaryota; Metazoa; Chordata; Actinopteri; Cyprinodontiformes; Goodeidae.